CUGGCUCAGAACGAACGCUGGCGGCAGGCUUAACACAUGCAAGUCGAACGCAUCCUUCGGGGUGAGUGGCAGACGGGUGAGUAACGUGUGGGAAUCUACCCUUUGCUACGGAAUAACGCAUGGAAACGUGUGCUAAUACCGUAUGUGCCCUUCGGGGGAAAGAUUUAUCGGCAAAGGAUGAGCCCGCGUUGGAUUAGCUAGUUGGUGGGGUAAAGGCCUACCAAGGCGACGAUCCAUAGCUGGUCUGAGAGGAUGAUCAGCCACAUUGGGACUGAGACACGGCCCAAACUCCUACGGGAGGCAGCAGUGGGGAAUAUUGGACAAUGGGCGCAAGCCUGAUCCAGCCAUGCCGCGUGAGUGAUGAAGGCCCUAGGGUUGUAAAGCUCUUUCACCGGUGAAGAUAAUGACGGUAACCGGAGAAGAAGCCCCGGCUAACUUCGUGCCAGCAGCCGCGGUAAUACGAAGGGGGCUAGCGUUGUUCGGAAUUACUGGGCGUAAAGCGCACGUAGGCGGGUAUUUAAGUCAGGGGUGAAAUCCCAGAGCUCAACUCUGGAACUGCCUUUGAUACUGGGUACCUAGAGUAUGGAAGAGGUAAGUGGAAUUCCGAGUGUAGAGGUGAAAUUCGUAGAUAUUCGGAGGAACACCAGUGGCGAAGGCGGCUUACUGGUCCAUUACUGACGCUGA
This 684-nucleotide ribosomal RNA is filed under the name Rhizobium sp. EBM20D-4. RNAcentral describes it as "bacterial SSU rRNA". It matches the Rfam family "Bacterial small subunit ribosomal RNA", at positions 19 to 749 of the family's 1533-position model. Lineage: Bacteria; Pseudomonadati; Pseudomonadota; Alphaproteobacteria; Hyphomicrobiales; Rhizobiaceae. The record is from RNAcentral.